This 411-nucleotide ribosomal RNA is filed under the name Hypocrella raciborskii. Its description in RNAcentral is "eukaryotic LSU rRNA". It matches the Rfam family "Eukaryotic large subunit ribosomal RNA", at positions 71 to 478 of the family's 3401-position model. Lineage: Eukaryota; Fungi; Ascomycota; Sordariomycetes; Hypocreales; Clavicipitaceae. The record is from RNAcentral.
GGCAUUGCCCCACUAACGGCGAGUGAAGCGGCAACAGCUCAAAUUUGAAAUCUGGCCCCCCCCCGGGGGGCCCGAGUUGUAAUUUGCAGAGGAUGCUUUGGGCGAGGCCGCCUUCCGAGUUCCCUGGAACGGGACGCCACAGAGGGUGAGAGCCCCGUCUGGUCGGACGCCGAGCCUCUGUAAAGCUCCUUCGACGAGUCGAGUAGUUUGGGAAUGCUGCUCAAAAUGGGAGGUAUAUGUCUUCUAAAGCUAAAUACCGGCCAGAGACCGAUAGCGCACAAGUAGAGUGAUCGAAAGAUGAAAAGCACCUUGAAAAGGGGGUUAAACAGUACGUGAAAUUGUUGAAAGGGAAGCGCUCGUGACCAGACUUGGGGUCGGCGGAUCANCCGGCUGUUCUCGCCGGCGCACUCC